GGAGCGUCGCCUGUCAUAUUGUAUGUAUAGGCGCGUGCCGCGUUGUACGUGAGGUUGCUCCGUGGUGAUUAUCAGAGGUGAAGCAGCUUGUUGGUGCAACUGUUGUGGGAAUUCUUCGUCGGUGUUCUUUUCUCCUGGUGUCCUUGGUCGUCUGGGAGGCUUAUGUGCAAGGUGCAGCAAUAGGUGGGUGAGCGAACUCCAUAUAGCGCCAAGAAGGUGCAAACUGCAUCCGUACACGGUGUGAAGAGCGUAUCCAUGGAUGGCGGUGUCUACUAACAGCUUGAUUAUGCGGAUGACGAUGAAUAUUCCGAGAACUCCUGCGGUUGCUGAGCUGAAGGUCGUACAUGGAGGCGAUGUUUUCUCCUGUUUUAUAUCCGGU
This is a long non-coding RNA of Dinoponera quadriceps, 379 nucleotides long. RefSeq lists it as uncharacterized. The record is from RefSeq and is a predicted model, not a curated record. The transcript has 3 exons. Lineage: Eukaryota; Metazoa; Arthropoda; Insecta; Hymenoptera; Formicidae.